Molecule: ribosomal RNA, 253 nt
Filed under: uncultured bacterium
Lineage: Bacteria
Description: partial 16S ribosomal RNA
Rfam family: Bacterial small subunit ribosomal RNA
Source: RNAcentral
UACGUAUGGUGCAAGCGUUAUCCGGAUUUACUGGGCGUAAAGGGAGCGCAGGCGGCGCGCCAAGUCUGAUGUGAAACCCCGGGGCUCAACCCCGGGCAUGCAUUGGAAACUGGCGGGCUGGAGUGCCGGAGAGGUAAGCGGAAUUCCUAGUGUAGCGGUGAAAUGCGUAGAUAUUAGGAGGAACACCGGUGGCGAAGGCGGCUUACUGGACGGCAACUGACGCUGAGGCUCGAAAGCGUGGGGAGCAAACAGG